AUAGAGACAUGAGAACAUCGACAACUUUGUUGCACCUGCUUCUCAUUAUUACCUGGAUCAAUCUCUUCUUCACAUAUUGCUCUAAUAAUAAUAAAAUGAGUGUAAAUUUAUGAGACUGACUUCUUUCCUAUGUAUCCAAAGGAAAUCUAACUCCUCCUUUUGGCAACCAUAUGACACAUACCCUGGGGAGGGAAGCACAGGAUCCUUAAUCAGUAAAUUGAGUCUUGUUCAAUGUGCUUUGCAAAGGAGACAUCAGUGUAUUGUUGAAUUCUGUAUGCGAACCUUGUUAAAUAAACUUGUUCUUGGUUAGAGAAAGUAUUUACUUACAAAAAGAGUCCUUUAGCAUUUUACCAAAUCUUUAUAGUUCUUGUCAUUUAAAAAUGUGUACCUCUCUAUCCCCAAAAGCCAUUAUAAUUUUUGAGGCAAAAGUGGAAAUUAAGACUUGUGUAAAGCUGAAGCUCUAUCCUUCAAGAUAUCUUUGUUUUACAUUAGGGUGUUAUCUUUUAAUCUUGGAUCCUAAAUAAAAUUUGGUUUUUUUUUUUUUUUUUGUCUUUUCUAGGGCCACCCCUAUGGCAUAUGGUGGUUCCCAGGCUAGGGGUCUAAUCAGAGCUGUAGCUGCCAGCCUACGCCAGAGCCACAGCAAUGCUGGAUCCGAGCCGUGUCUGCGGCCUACACCACAGCUCACAGCAACGCCGGAUCCUUAACCCACUGAGCAAGGCCAGGGAUCGAACCCACAACCUCAUGAUUCCUACUCAGAUUCGUUAACCACCAUGCCACGACGGGAACUCCUGUGUCUAGUUGGUUUUAUCAUUCAUAAAAAUUCCGAGUGAAGAGAUAUGCCACAUGCUAGUGUAUUUUUCAUAAUGUAUUUCUUUGGUAGUAUUUUAAAUAACAGGGAGUACCAAAAAACUGAUCAUUAUGGAGGGAUUUAACCUCAGCUAGCUAUUUUAUAACCAAUGCUUUAUUCCAGCUCUAUAAUUAACAUCUAAAAUUAACAUUUUUCAACAUGACUUUAAACAUUAAGGAAUCUAAGUAGAUAUAAAUACUUAAAGUACUAUUGCUUUGCACUUUUUAGGCCUUUCAAAAUGGAACUAAAGGCAGUCUCUCGCCACAUGAAAUAUGGCACAGUACAUGCUUUGGAACGGUUUUUAUAGUUUUAAAUAUUUUUUAUGCCAUUGGGUGUAAUUAUUUCCAUACGUUUAUGAAGAGUAAAAGGAGGUAGCAACAGAGAUGCUGAAAUGGUCUAUAUCCCUUUGCAUUGUUAGCCACAUAAGAGAACUGGUCCCUUCUUAUCUCUAGUCUAUUGGUAAAUAGAAUUUAUUCACUUUCCUUAAUACUAACCUGAAGAUACUGUUUAAUGCACCAUAAACAAAUGAAUUUCUUACAUGAUUAAAAUGGUCUUAACUAUCCAAUGUUUUUUGCUGAUUGAAUCUGCCACUUCUGUUUACUAGGAAAAUAAAUAACAUAUGUUUGCUCUCUUUCUAAAAGGUUCCUAUUUAUUCUGUGGUCAUUUCCCACUUAUAAUAUUUCCAGCUUAAUUUCAUAAAACAGCUUUUAUAUGACUUGAAAAACAGCCCUUAUUGUACAUUGUCUUCAAGUAUUUUGCCUUUGAGCUCUGGACUUUUAUUUGAAGAAACAUCCAACCGUCCAGCUUUUCUUUUCUUUCUCUCUCUCUCUUUGCCUGUAUUAGGGUUGGAAUUUAAAAAGUCAAACAGCUGCAUGCCUUGCAUAUGCGGACAGAAAAGGCAAAAUUCAGCUAUUUGAGAAUGUUUCCCCCCACCCCAUACAAUAUCAGCAAUUCUCGUGCCUAAUUUAUAGUUGUCAAACAAAGGAAAACAAGGCUUAAAGGGCAUUUGUCUGUCAGAGGACUCAUUAAGGUGAACCAGCUUGCAGAGAAAACUCUUAUUGUGAUAAUUUUGUAAAGGAUGGAUGCCACAAGAAGUGCUAUUUCAUAUGCUCCCUUCCAAAGAUUUAAGGCCUGUAUAAAGUUCAAUGAACAUGACUAAAUCGUAUCUUGAACAGAUAGAUUCCUGGUAUGUCAUGGACUCCAUGUCAUAUGCUUGACAUACAUUCAAAUUCAGACUCAAGGUCUGUUUCUGUAUCACCACAUUUAUGUUAAAAUAUGAAGCAUCUUGAGUACAUGUUUCAAGGCUUAUCUCAGAUUGCAUCUCUAAGAUAUUUUCCUGUUAUCUGUGUUGGAUAUGACCUCAAACUUUUAUAUGAUGUGACAUGUUCUGCUUUGUAUUACAGUUACUUGUGGGUUUGUCUUAUUUCCUUCCAUUUCCACCAUAUGAAUUUCUGUUCUUCUUUCAAUUCCUGCUAUCCUUAUAUGAAGACAUCUGUCUUGGUAGUAUUCCUCCGAUCUAGAGCCAGGGUUUAGGGUAGGUGUUCUUCAUGCAUGGAGUUAAAAUACUGAUCCAGUUUUUCCUUUUCCAACUUCUCAUAAUGUACUAAUAUUGAAAAAGUUAAGUUUUAAUGUAAAUGAAGAAUACAUAUUAUUAUACACAAUUGAUAUAUAUUAUAAAUCCAUUAAAAGUGUCAAUUGUAUAAUAAGCUUAAUUUUACAUAUUUUUAUGUAAUUAUCUGUAUUUCUUAGAAGUCAGUGAACUCUAGAACUGGAAAGUACUUUAAAUUCAAGCAAUUCCUAUUGCAGAAAGAGGAAACCAACGUUCAGACAUUAGAGAGACAUAAGAAUUUUAUUUUACUUUUAGUUUGGAGUAUUGUAAGACAGCACAGGGGACUUCUGAUUCAAUUACUAAUGGCCCUUCUUUUGCUUUAAAAUUUUCUCUGUUAACCCUGAUGAAAUAGGAAUUGUGUGAUUAGUACCAGGCUGUAUUUGUUGUUGAGCUGUAUGAUAAUGAUUUGAUCAUAUUUUUUAAGGCUUUGAAUGUUAGGAAGCAGUACUACUACUAUUAUUUUUAUUCCUGCCAUAUUUAGUUAUAGGUGUUUUCCAAGUGAUUCACAUGGAAUUUUAGUGAAUCCACUUCCACUCAAAUGUCCCAUGCAUCUUGGUGGUGCUAAUUGAUAGGGAUUAUCACCUUUGAGAGACUCUCAUGAGAAGAAACAUAAUCCAGAAUAACCCAGGGCUUGGUAGCAUGGGAGCCAAACUCUGCUUGGAGAUAAUGUCAUAUAGUUACUUCAAAGCCUCUGCCAUGUAAGGACACACCCAGUUAUGGACCAAAUUGACCUGGAACAUUUUACCUAAACCAUGGACCUCUAAACCAGGUGGUCCACAGUUUUAAUUUAGGCUUGCUGUAAGUGAGAUUCCCCAUUGUCAAAGGUGAGAAAAUUUUACACAAUAAUUUUCCAAACUUUCUCUUAGAUAUUAAAAUUUCAGCUGAGUAUUUUGGUUUUUAUGCUGACAAAGUAGGCAUAGACUCAACCAUGAGAUUCCAACAGAGAAAUGUAUUAUAGAGCUGGUGAGUGAUCCUAGUAUUAAGCAUUUCAAGGAUCCUCAAAUACUUUCAUUUGACUUUUGUGAUAACCCUGUGACACUGGUGUCAUUCCCAUUUUACACAUGAGGUACCUGAGGCUCAGUCAUAGGAAUUAGUGAAUGAUGAUUUUGGACCUCAAAUCCAACUUUGUAUUACUUGAGAAUAUAUACUCUUCAUUACGCCAAGCUGAAUUCAUCAUAAAUUUCAUCUUAAGUCUCUCAUUUGGAAAUCUACACUUGAUUCAGAUUCAUGUGUGUGAAGUAUGAGGCAGAGUUAGCCUUAUUUGUAAGUGGAAGUGGCAUAUUAUAUUCCAUAAUCAACAUAACCUGCAACAGUUACCUUUUGUAUUUUCAGAUGUGGCAAAAAAAAAAAGGGGUUCUGUAGUUACGUGAGAUGGAAUUAUUUUUCAAUUAGCAAGUUGUAUACUGUAAAUAUUCUGCUGAGUUCACCAUAU
RNAcentral lists this long non-coding RNA (3888 nucleotides) under Sus scrofa (pig). RNAcentral describes it as "lncRNA (ENSSSCG00000052575.1, ENSSSCG00090018414.1, ENSSSCG00130021959.1, ENSSSCG00175029050.1)". The record is from RNAcentral. Lineage: Eukaryota; Metazoa; Chordata; Mammalia; Artiodactyla; Suidae.